RNAcentral lists this ribosomal RNA (345 nucleotides) under uncultured bacterium. RNAcentral's name for it is "bacterial SSU rRNA". It matches the Rfam family "Bacterial small subunit ribosomal RNA", at positions 30 to 378 of the family's 1533-position model. The record is from RNAcentral.
AUUGAACGCUGGCGGCAUGCCUUACACAUGCAAGUCGAACGGCAGCACGGGAGCAAUCCUGGUGGCGAGUGGCGAACGGGUGAGUAAUAUAUCGGAACGUGCCCAGUAGUGGGGGAUAGCCCGGCGAAAGCCGGAUUAAUACCGCAUACGACCUGUGGGUGAAAGCGGGGGAUCGCAAGACCUCGCGCUAUUGGAGCGGCCGAUAUCAGAUUAGCUUGUGGUGGGUAAAAGCCCACCAAGGCGACGAUCUGUAGCUGGUCUGAGAGGACGACCAGCCACACUGGGACUGAGACACGGCCAGACUCCUACGGGAGGCAGCAGUGGGGAAUUUUGGACAAUGGGCGC